CCUCUUCCCUUUCUUCCUUUCUCCCUUCCUUUCCUUUCCUCUCCCUUCCUUUUGUUUCCUUUCAUUUCCCUUCCCUUCCCUUCCCUUUUCUUCCGUCUUUUACUUAGCUUUCUUUACAUUCCCUUUCCUUGUUUUCCAUUCCUUAGUUUUCCUUCUUUUCUCUUUUCUUUCUCUCUCCUUUCUUGUUUUUCCUGUCCUUUUUUUUUGUCUCCCUUUCUUCCUCUUUCCUUUCCUUAUCUUCCCUUCCGUUUCCUCUCCUAUCCACUCCCUUUCAUUAUCUAUAUUUUCCAUCCCUUUCCUUCCCCUAUUUUGCUUUUUUUAGCUUUGUUUCUCUUUCCUUCCCUUCUCUUCCCUUCUCUUUCCUUUUCUCUUAUCCCCUUCUCUAUCCUUCCCCCUCCUCCUCUUCCCUUCCCUUCCCUUCCCAUCCCUUCGGUUCCAAUACCAUCUGUCUUGCAUUGAGAGAUAAGCUUCUUCCACGCCCUGUCUUCCCUUCCCUUGCCUUCUCUCCCCUCUCCUCUCCCCUAUGAUGCACUCUCCCUCCUCCUCCUCCUCCUCCUCCUCCUCCUCCUCCCCUUCCUGCUCCCCCGCCCACCAGCUUCUAGUUAAACAAAGCGAACUGAAGAGCUUGAUUCAGGAUUCCUCCCUCAUGUCUUCCUCCCCACCCCCACCCCCUCCUCCUCCUCCUCCUCCUCCUCCCCUCGUGUCUAGUAUCAAUGUAUCCCGGAACAGCCCGAUUGUUUCCUCCUUUUUUUUCCCCGAUCGCUAAAGAUUUUUUCCCCCACUUUUUACAAACGUUUUUUUUUUUAGUUUUUUGUUUUUUUGUUUACGUUUGAAAAUAAAAGAGAACUAUGCCGUGAAGAAUAGGAACCCAAAAAAGAAAAGAAAUAAAGAAAAAGAGGUUGAUGGGAAGUUAGGAAAAGUAAGGGAAAGGAAGGUUAGGAAUAUAGAAAAUGGGAAAGAAAGGUUAGGAAUAUAGAAAAUGGGAAAGGAAGGUUAGGAAUAUAGAAAAUGGGAGAGAAAGGUUAGGAAUAUAGAAAAUGGGAAAGAAAGGUUAGGAAUAUAGAAAAUGGGAAAGAAAGGUUAGGAAUAUAGAAAAUGGGAGAGAAAGGUUAGGAAUAUAGAAAAUGGGAGAGAAAGGUUAGGAAUAUAGAAAAUGGGACACAGAUUAGGGAAGUGAUUGAAGGGUAACUGUUUUUAUUUGUUGAUCAGUGUCACAAUAGAUAGAUUUCUGGUUAGGCCUAUCUUAGAUCUACAUAGCUUUCCCCUCCUCCUCCUCCUCCUCCUCCUCCUCUCUCCCUCCUCAGCCAUCUCUCCCCCUUCUCCUCCUCCUCCUCCUUUCCCCUCUUCUCACUUUCAUCCAGUUUCCCCUUUAUUACUUCCAUUUUCUUUCGUCUUCACUUCCUAUCUCCUCUUUCCCCUUCCUCCUCCUCCUCUUUUUUUUUCCUUCUUUAUGCAUCUCCCAUUCUCCUCCUCCUUUCCCCUCUUUCAAUUCUUUAUCUUCCUUUCCUUCUCUUUCGUAUCUGCUUCCUAUCUUUCAUUUUCCCCUCUUCUGCCUUUCCUUCCUCCUCCUCCUCCUUUUUUCUCCUCUUGAAGUAUCUCCCUUCGCCUCAUUUCUCCUCUUCUCGCAUUUUUUCUUCUCCAUUCUCUCUCUUUCGUAUUUGCUUUCUCUCUUUCAUUUUCUCCUCUGUUUCCUUUCUCCUCCUCCUCCUCAUCAUCAUCAUCAUCCUUUUUUCUCCUCUUCAAGUAUCUCCCUUCGCCUCAUUUCCCCUCUUCUCUCUCGCCUUUUUUCUUCUCCAUUUUCUCUUUCAUUUUCUCCUCUUCUGUCGUUUCCUUUCUCCUCCUCCUCAUCAUCCCCCUUCUCCUCCUCCCUUCAUGCUUCUCCCCUCCUCCUCCUUCUCACGUUUCCCUCUUCCCCUCCUUCCUCCCCUCCUCUGUCGUAUCCUCUUCCUCUCUCUCCUUUCUCCACUUAGAAAAACAGUCAGGCACUUUUCAUUUCCCCUUCCUCCCCCCUCUUCCUUCUCAUCUGUUUUAGUGAUUUCCUUUUCCUCCUCCCUCAUUUCUUCUCUCCUCCCAUCCAAAAAAUAUACUGGUUUCUCUUGUUUCUCCCAUUUUUUCCUUUCUCUUUCUGACUUUAAAAAUGAUAGGUCCCUCCCCUCUCUCCCCUUCUCCCGUCACCGGCCACAUAUCACCUGCUUUUCCCUUCUUCUCGUCAGUUAGUCAGUCAGUCAGUCAGUUAGUCAGUCAAUCAGUCAGUCAAUUAGUCAUUCAAUCAGUAAAUCAGUCAGAAAGUCAGUCAGUCAGUCAAUCAGUCAGUCAGUUAGUCAGUCAAUCAGUAAAUUAGUCAGAAAGUCAGUUAGUCAGUUAGUCAGUCAGUCAGUCAGUCAUUUAUUCAGUCAGUCAAUCAGUUAGUCUGUCAGUCAAUCAAUUAGUCAGUCAGUCAAUCAGUUAGUCAGUUAGUCAAUCAAUUAGUCAGUCAGUCAGUCAGUCAGUUAGUUGGUCAGUCAGUCAAUCAGUAAAUCAGUCAGUCAGUCAGUCAGUCAGUCAGUCAGUCAAUUAUUCAGACGCUAGAAAAUUAUUAAACAAAAAAAUAAUGGGGUUGAUAUCCAUUUAGAAUCUAAUGGAAGUUUUGAAUCAUUAAGAAAAAAGGAAAUAAAAGAUGGCCAGUCAGUUUUUUUUUUUUUUUAAGAGAGGAAAAAUAGCACCUAGUUAGUUCUGCUUUAAAAACUGUCACGAUUUGAGCAUUAAGAUUAAAAAUGAAAGCUGGCCAAAGUGAAUUGCAAGAGAGGAAAUAAAAACCCUCGUAUAUCAUGUUUUUAAAAAGUGGUUAGUUUCCUGGGGGGUUUUUUAGGGGGAAAUAAAGUAAAAUCUAUGGAGGGGUUUUAAAAGUAUAUAUAUUGGGCAUAGUCUACGAUCCCUAACCCAUAAAAGUGUAGCCUCGUAUGUGUGUGUGUGUGUGUGUGUGUGUGUGUGUGUGUGUGUGUGUGUAUGACAGGGGAAGUCGAGGAGUCCAGCCCGGGUGUCUGUCUCUGUCUGUCUCGUCAAAGGUCAGUCAGUAAGUCGUUUUGUUAAGUCGUUGUGGUGUUUUAGCUGUUCUUGUUGUCGUCAUUGUCCAGUCAACGUUAUCAUCGGCUUUACUGUUGUUGUUUUUAAUGCUGUUGUCGCCGUCCUUAUUGGUAACUGUCGCUGUUCUUGUCGUCUUGGUCGUGUUUGCUGUUGUGGUUGUCGUUAUUCAGUCUUCCGUGGUCGUCGUCAUCAUUUUUUGUCAUUAUCGUCCGUCCAAAUCUUGCCCAGCAGUCGUCACAAACACUAUUGCCAGUUCGACGACUCUACCUUGGCCGCAACUCCACUUUGGGCAUCAGCAACACUGUAUUAUGUCAGUGGCGGUGUUGCAAUGUUUGUGUUGCACGGAUGUAUGCUCUGUUCAUGAUACCUUGGCGAAUAGGCCCCGCCCACA
Long non-coding RNA from Eriocheir sinensis (Chinese mitten crab), 3454 nucleotides. RefSeq lists it as uncharacterized. The transcript has 3 exons. Lineage: Eukaryota; Metazoa; Arthropoda; Malacostraca; Decapoda; Varunidae. The record is from RefSeq and is a predicted model, not a curated record.